RNAcentral lists this transfer RNA (93 nucleotides) under Pilimelia anulata. RNAcentral describes it as "tRNA-Gly". The record is from RNAcentral. Lineage: Bacteria; Bacillati; Actinomycetota; Actinomycetes; Micromonosporales; Micromonosporaceae.
GGCCGAGCUGGCCGGGCGGGCGAUCCGCUGCCGCCGGCUGCGGAUGGUGCCGGUCGAGUGCAUCGCCCGCGGGUACCUCGCCGGCCUCGGCCU